This 497-nucleotide ribosomal RNA is filed under the name uncultured bacterium. Its description in RNAcentral is "partial 16S ribosomal RNA". It matches the Rfam family "Bacterial small subunit ribosomal RNA", at positions 28 to 507 of the family's 1533-position model. The record is from RNAcentral.
GAUGAACGCUGGCGGCGUGCCUAAUACAUGCAAGUCGAGCGAACAGACGAGGAGCUUGCUCCUCUGACGUUAGCGGCGGACGGGUGAGUAACACGUGGAUAACCUACCUAUAAGACUGGGAUAACUUCGGGAAACCGGAGCUAAUACCGGAUAAUAUAUUGAACCGCAUGGUUCAAUAGUGAAAGACGGUUUUGCUGUCACUUAUAGAUGGAUCCGCGCCGCAUUAGCUAGUUGGUAAGGUAACGGCUUACCAAGGCAACGAUGCGUAGCCGACCUGAGAGCGUGAUCGGCCACACUGGUACUGAGACACGGUCCAGACUCCUACGGGAGGCAGCAGUAGGGAAUCUUCCGCAAUGGGCGAAAGCCUGACGGAGCAACGCCGCGUGAGUGAUGAAGGUCUUCGGAUCGUAAAACUCUGUUAUUAGGGAAGAACAAAUGUGUAAGUAACUAUGCACGUCUUGACGGUACCUAAUCAGAAAGCCACGGCUAACUACGUG